This is a long non-coding RNA of Frieseomelitta varia, 2125 nucleotides long. RefSeq lists it as uncharacterized. NCBI's taxonomy places the organism in Eukaryota, Metazoa, Arthropoda, Insecta, Hymenoptera, Apidae. The record is from RefSeq and is a predicted model, not a curated record. The transcript is spliced from 5 exons.
GAUACUUGGGAUACGUUCUUAAAUAUUUAGAAAAUACAUUCAUUACAGUAAAGUGUUAAGUAUUUUAAUAUUGGUAGUAAUAAUUCAUUGGUAGAAUGAUGUUAUUCAUUUCAAUUCAAAAGCUGCACCGGUUAUAUAAAUCAUAAAAUAUUCAAAACAUGCGAUUUCAAGUUUUUAUGAAGUAAAUUGAGAUAUGUUAAGUUGUAUUUCAAUGAAACAUUAAUAUUAAAAAACCUGAUUUCAAAUCAAUCAAGCGUAUCAAGAACUGGCCUUUACAUUUAACAACAAUGUUUCUUUCUUGGCGGGCAUCGCUAACGUCGCGAGAUUAAGUAUUCUUCGCUCUCGUUUGUAACAAGCGCAUAAUAACAGUCAUUCGGACAUCUGUUUGACGAAAAUUUCGGCUGCUUGCCAGUACCAAAUUGACGUGCUGAGCGUGAAACGAUACUGGCUGUGGUCCAAAAAUUAUCCGAAAGUAAACAUAUAUCAUGGCAGCAUUGUUUAUAUUCUCAGUUACCGACUUCGCGUUUUUCUUUUCACGUUGAUUUUUUAAAAUAUCUUUAAAUUAUCGCCAAUGUCGAAAGUAUGGAAAAAAACAUUUGUUAAUAUUUAAACAAAUUCUGCAAACGGUAUGAAAAACGGUAUAAACAAAAUUUUGUAUUUUUAUCAAUUUCUAUUAAAUAUUUCUUAUGAUUUUUUCUCAGGUAUUAUAUACGUUUGUAAACUAAAAGUUUGCAAGUGUGAUGAUGUUCAAGAAAUAGGGAUAUGAUUAAUUUCCGUUGAAUGAGAUUCUUCAUCGUGAAAAAAUAUAUUUUAAUACUGUUAGUCAAUACCAGCUGAUGAAAUGAAUUCUACGAACACAAGGCAGGACAGAAUGAAGGCAGUAUGGAGUGCUGAGCAGAAAGAGGAAGGGGAAGGAAAAAAAAAGGGAGAAGGAACCGGUGGCAGUAAAAAGAUUUACAGUGGCGUAAAUACAGCGGCACGUUCCAUACGCAGUUUUCGAACGAUACGCGCAAUUCAGAUGAUUUGAGAAUAAGUGCCGCCAUUAUCCUGACGUGCAACGUUUUAUUGCGGAUAAUACCAACCACGAUCGCUUCCGCAAUAAUUGCAGUUUUGUCAAGCAUAAAAAAAGAAAAAAGAAGAAGCAAAACAAAAAAUCAUAACCGAUCUCUAGUUUUUCUCACAUUCAAAUUCACUGUGCUAAAGUAGUUGGGUACUUGAGACUGUCUUAACUUUCAUUCUUUCUUCGAUACUGUUAAUUGAGAAACGGAUGACUGGUCGUAUGAAAUGCUCCCGCUUUUUCUAAUUUGUACUUCUUCUCUCUUUCAUUUCUUUUUCAAAAUUCCAUUCGACGAAGACGCAAGAUAAAUAAGUUACAGUCAAACACCUUUCGUGGCCAAGAAAACCGAUUAAUCCGAGUCAGAGCAAGAUAUUUGAAAGUAAAGUGUUCGCCUUCUUUCGUGUUCAAAUUAUAACGAGAGGAACUGGGUCAACUCGCCGUGCAGGUGCACGACCGUGUUUCGUCCAUCAUCGAUACACAUCCCUUUUGUCGUUUCCGUAUCGAUUUGUGAACACGACUCUUUAUAAACGUCGUUUCUGCUUUCUUCUUCUACGUACCGUUUGCGCACUAAGAAAAUAUUUAUAUGCGAGAAGCAACAAAUAUUAUAAUAAAUAUGAAAGAUAAAGGACUAUCCACUAUGUAACUAGUAAAUUUUACACGGAUUAACGAGCAAACACUUGGAAAUUAAUCUAUCCGGCAUGUAUCUGAAAAUGAACCAAGCUAAUCGAACGAGAUAAAAAUAUAAAUGCAAAUCUUCACGCUGCGCCGGGCAGCGUGUUUUAUUUAAUUAAGAGCAUUACUGUUCGGUUGUAUCUCGUAUUGAUGUUGAAAUCUAUCAAAAAGCGGUACAGACACGCGUAACACCUACACAGGCCGUGAUAUGCAAUACCUAGCCGAGUAUUUUCCUGUUUAUUAUUAAAAUAUUCCGCCUCGUUACGCGGCGGCUGAUACCGAAUCGCGGCGCAUCCUGUGAUUCCAGUAUGCGAUAGAAAUUAUAUUCGUCGCUAAUCGAAUGAAUUACACAUUACUUUCGAGUGUUUCAUUAAUUACCGUAAAUCGAGCGACGUA